Molecule: unclassified non-coding RNA, 209 nt
Filed under: plant metagenome
Description: partial contains small subunit ribosomal RNA, internal transcribed spacer 1, and 5.8S ribosomal RNA
Source: RNAcentral
CGUAGGUGAACCUGCGGAAGGAUCAUUCAUAAUAAGUGUUUUAUGGCACUUUUUUAAAUCCAUAUCCACCUUGUGUGCAAUGUCAGGGUUGAUUUUUCUCUCGAGAGGAUCAGCCCCAAACAUCAACUAUAUCUCAACUCUUUGUCUGAAAAAUAUUAUGAAUAAAACAAUUCAAAAUACAACUUUCAACAACGGAUCUCUUGGCUCUC